GGAGAGGUGGCUGAGCUGGUCGAAGGCGCUCGACUCGAAAUCGAGUAGGCUGUGAAAGGUCUCGUGGGUUCGAAUCCCACCCUCUCCGCCA
This 91-nucleotide transfer RNA is filed under the name Bacillota bacterium. Its description in RNAcentral is "tRNA-Ser". It matches the Rfam family "tRNA". From Rfam's summary of the family: Transfer RNA (tRNA) molecules are approximately 80 nucleotides in length. Their secondary structure includes four short double-helical elements and three loops (D, anti-codon, and T loops). The record is from RNAcentral. Lineage: Bacteria; Bacillati; Bacillota.